Molecule: long non-coding RNA, 336 nt
Organism: Mugil cephalus (flathead mullet)
Lineage: Eukaryota; Metazoa; Chordata; Actinopteri; Mugiliformes; Mugilidae
Exons: 4
Source: RefSeq, a predicted model, not a curated record
UCCUGCUUAUUUCUUUCCUUCUUUUGUCCUUUUAUUUAUUUGUGUCUCUGUCGAUCGUCCUCUUGUGGGUCCUAUCCUCCAGACGUCCCUCAACCUUCCUCCUCUGAUGGAGUCAGAACCAGCUUCCUGAUCGUCUGACAGAAUAAAUUGGAAUCUGCCUUUGAUACCUCAGCCUGUUUCUGUUGCCAGUCUCUCCUUUGGACUCUCUGAUUCUUCAGAUGGACGGCCUGCUCCUUCACUUCCUGCCCAUAACCAUCACUGGUUUGGUUUUCUGUCUUCUCCUGACUCACUACUGUAAAGAUGAUGCUGCUGUUCCCAUCAACACUGGUUUGGCUG